GGAGGAAGAUCCGUAGGUGAACCUGCGGAUACGCAUGUGGAUAGCGCGGAGGAAGUACCCGAAGUCUUUUGUAUUUUAGUGGCCUCUCUGAGACAACAAGCAAAUAAGUUAAAACUUUCAACAACGGAUCUCUUGGUUCUGGCAUCGAUGAAGAACGCAGCGAAAUGCGAUAAGUAAUGGUGAUUGCAGAAUUCAGUGAAUCAUCGAAUCUUUGACGCACAUUGCGCCCGCCAGUACUCUGGCGGGCAUGCCUGUUCGAGCGUCAUUUCAACCCUCAAGCCCUGCUUGGUGUUGGGGUCCUACGGCUGCCGUAGGCCCUGAAAGCUAGUGGCGGGCUCGCUAUAACUCCGAGCGUAGUAGUAAAAUAUCUCGCUAGGCAGGUGUCGCGGGUUCCGGCCGUGAAAGCCCAUCUUUUACACAAGGUUGACCUCGGAUCAGGUAGGAAUACCCGCUGAACUUAAGCAUAUCAUUAGCCGGAAG
Molecule: ribosomal RNA, 480 nt
Filed under: Fimetariella rabenhorstii
Lineage: Eukaryota; Fungi; Ascomycota; Sordariomycetes; Sordariales; Lasiosphaeriaceae
Description: eukaryotic LSU rRNA
Rfam family: 5.8S ribosomal RNA (bases 113-265)
Source: RNAcentral